UGGGAUGUCGCCAAGUGGCUAAGGCACCAGGUUUUGAUCCUGGCAUUCGCAGGUUCGAGUCCUGCCAUCCCAGCCA
This 76-nucleotide transfer RNA is filed under the name Marinicella pacifica. RNAcentral's name for it is "tRNA-Gln". It matches the Rfam family "tRNA". Rfam says of the family: Transfer RNA (tRNA) molecules are approximately 80 nucleotides in length. Their secondary structure includes four short double-helical elements and three loops (D, anti-codon, and T loops). RNAcentral also lists the same sequence under 8 other names. The record is from RNAcentral. Lineage: Bacteria; Pseudomonadati; Pseudomonadota; Gammaproteobacteria; Lysobacterales; Marinicellaceae.